CAGCAGCCGCGGUAAUACGUAGGUGGCAGGCGUUGUCCGGAAUUAUUGGGCGUAAAGGGCUCGCAGGCGGUUUCUUAAGUCUGGUGUGAAAGCCCCAGGCUCAACCGGGGAGGGUCAUUGGAAACUGGGAAACUUGAGUGCAGAAGAGGAGAGUGGAAUUCCACGUGUAGCGGUGAAAUGCGUAGAGAUGUGGAGGAACACCAGUGGCGAAGGCGACUCUCUGGUCUGUAACUGACGCUGAGGAGCGAAAGCGUGGGGAGCGAACAGGAUUAGAGACCCCCGUAGUCCCUGUCUCUUAUAC
Molecule: ribosomal RNA, 301 nt
Filed under: uncultured bacterium
Lineage: Bacteria
Description: partial 16S ribosomal RNA
Rfam family: Bacterial small subunit ribosomal RNA
Source: RNAcentral